CCUACGGGAGGCAGCAGUGAGGAAUAUUGGUCAAUGGACGGAAGUCUGAACCAGCCAUGCCGCGUGCAGGAAGACGGCUCUAUGAGUUGUAAACUGUUUUUGUACAAGGGUAAACCUGAAUACUUGUAUUCAGCUGAAAGUACUGUACGUAUAAGGAUCGGCUAACUCCGUGCCAGCAGCCGCGGUAAUACGGAGGAUCCAAGCGUUAUCCGGAUUUAUUGGGUUUAAAGGGUGCGUAGGCGGAUUGAUAAGUUAGAGGUGAAAUGUCCGAGCUUAACUCGGGAACUGCCUCUAAUACUGUUGAACUAGAGAGUAGAUGCGGUAGGCGGAAUGUAUGGUGUAGCGGUGAAAUGCUUAGAGAUCAUACAGAACACCGAUUGCGAAGGCAACUUACCAAUCUAUAUCUGACGUUGAGGCACGAAAGCGUGGGGAGCAAACAGGAUUAGAUACCCCGGUAGUC
RNAcentral lists this ribosomal RNA (460 nucleotides) under uncultured bacterium. RNAcentral describes it as "partial 16S ribosomal RNA". It matches the Rfam family "Bacterial small subunit ribosomal RNA", at positions 338 to 795 of the family's 1533-position model. The record is from RNAcentral.